RNAcentral lists this ribosomal RNA (376 nucleotides) under uncultured organism. RNAcentral's name for it is "partial 16S ribosomal RNA". It matches the Rfam family "Bacterial small subunit ribosomal RNA", at positions 527 to 896 of the family's 1533-position model. The record is from RNAcentral.
GUAGGGUCCGAGCGUUAUCCGGAAUCAUUGGGGCGUAAAGAGCUCGUAGGCGGUUCAGCAAGUCGGCUGUGAAAGUUCGAGGCUCAACCUCGAAAUUGCAGUCGAUACUGCUGUGACUCGAGUCCCGGUAGAGGAGAAUGGAAUUCCCGGUGUAGCGGUGAAAUGCGCAGAUAUCGGGAGGAACACCAGUAGCGAAGGCGGUUCUCUGGGCCGGCACUGACGCUGAGGAGCGAAAGCGUGGGGAGCAAACAGGAUUAGAUACCCUGGUAGUCCACGCCGUAAACGUUGGAUGCUAGGUGUGGCGGUCUACCAACGACUGCCGUGCCGAAGCUAACGCAUUAAGCAUCCCGCCUGGGGAGUACGGCCGCAAAGGCUG